This 253-nucleotide ribosomal RNA is filed under the name uncultured bacterium. Its description in RNAcentral is "partial 16S ribosomal RNA". It matches the Rfam family "Bacterial small subunit ribosomal RNA", at positions 524 to 776 of the family's 1533-position model. The record is from RNAcentral.
UACGUAGGGUGCGAGCGUUGUCCGGAAUUAUUGGGCGUAAAGAGCUUGUAGGCGGUUUGUCGCGUCUGCUGUGAAAAUCCGGGGCUCAACCCCGGACUUGCAGUGGGUACGGGCAGACUAGAGUGUGGUAGGGGAGACUGGAAUUCCUGGUGUAGCGGUAAAAUGCGCAGAUAUCAGGAGGAACACCGAUGGCGAAGGCAGGUCUCUGGGCCACUACUGACGCUGAGAAGCGAAAGCAUGGGGAGCGAACAGG